Molecule: long non-coding RNA, 3073 nt
Organism: Cyprinus carpio carpio
Lineage: Eukaryota; Metazoa; Chordata; Actinopteri; Cypriniformes; Cyprinidae
Source: Ensembl
AAAUAAAAUAAAAAUAAUAAUAAUAAUAAAAAAGAAAAAUUGAAAAAAGAAAAAGACCUUUCCAUAUUUACUUCUCUCCCUUUAAUAUACAACACACAGUAAAAUAUACAUUACAAAGAAGCAUUGAUAUUAUUGACAUUGAACAAAGUAUAAAAGAUUUUAAGGCUUUGGCAUUAUUGAAGAUCUAAGUUACAUUUCAGGUCUUUACAACAAAAAAUAAUAAAAAGAAGUUUCACAGAAAAAAAAAAAAGUUUAAAAAUUGUCCAGAAAAAUAAAUCGAUUUAUUAGGAAAUAUUUGUCUUCUAUAAAAACCAAAUAACACAUCUUUAAACACCAAAGAAAAAAAAAACACAAAUAAGUAACUCACAGCUACAACAGACAUUAACAACAACACAAAAAUGAUGAAGAACCAGGAAAAUGGUUACACAAAAGAGGUUAUGUGCAUUUCUUCACUCAUACACAUUCUCAAUGGUAACUGAAAAUAAAUAAAGUGAAUAGUGAUUAAUAAUAAGCUCGGGAGGAGACGGUAAAGGGGGCUGUAAGAGGCCACUAAAAAUCUACAAUUUUUAUCAUUUAGAAACAUAAAUAUAUUUGUAUAAAGUCUUAUAUAAGAAAUAAUAUUAAAAAAACUCCCAUCUAUCUAUAUUUUGUGCUCUCCGUCCAAUUCAGUACAUAACUGAACUCACACAAUGAAACAUAACUCUGUGGUCCCAAUAUGACAGUUUUCAUAUUUUGUACUUGUGCAUUAAAGGGGUCAUAUGAUGCUGCUAAAAAGAACAUUAUUUUGUGUAUUUGGUGUGUGGAAUUACAAAUAUUUAAAAUCUUAAAUCUAGGUUCCAAUGUAAUAGUUUAUAAACUAAAAAAGUUAUGUACAUUGUGUUUUACAUUUUGAGGUAAAAAAAGGAUCAAAUCAGGAAGCCCAGGUGUCUGAGAUAAUGAUCUUUUGUCUUUGUGCUCUUCCUUGCCAUUUGGCUUUUUAAGACUGAUUGGAUUAGCACCUAUGCAUUUGAAGGACACUGUUAUGCUGAUGAGAUCAGCGAUGGGGAAACUCCUGUAACAGGAGUUUCCUGUACUGCAUUUGCAUGCUUUGCUUAGAUGGUCUCCACCUCUAUGUAUGCCUCCCCCUUGAAAUGUAUAUAAACCACAAUGUAUCAAUGACUAGUUAGACUUUUGAUGACUUCAGCGCCAUCCAGCGCGUUCUCAAUAAAGAAUUCUGCUGAAGAUUACCCAAGAGUCUCCUGGUCUUCACUUUUGAGUUUCCAACAGGUGUAAUGAAAUGUGUUUAUGCGGUUUAAGGUUUAAAAAAACACAUUAUUUUCCACAUACUGUACAUUAUUGUUUCUCCUCUAUGCCCCGCCUUCUGAAACGUGUCGAUUUUCACAAAGCUUAUCACUCUGAAAAGCGAGGUGUGCUGUGAUUGGCCAGCUAUCCAGUGCGUUGUUAUUGGCCGAAUGCCUCAAGGAUGUGACGGAAAUGCUACACCCCUCACCAUACUGUGAUGCCCUGUCCGGCCGGAGCGAAGAGACGUAAACAUAAAACCCAUUAUAAACGUGAUAUAAACAUGAUUUCUAGUCGUGUUUACUUUUGGAAGGCCAAACAAAGUAGUUUUGCUUUCUCAACGAAACAACGUCACACACUGCAGCCUUGAGUGAGUGAAGACUGGAGGCCUAGAGUGAGCGGAGGCUGGAGGUCUAGAGUGAGCGGAGGUCAGAGGUCUAGAGUGAGCCGCGGUCUAGCGUGAGCGGAGGCUGCAGGUCUAGAGUGAGCCGUGGUCUAGAGUGAGCGGAGGCUGGAGGUCUAGAGUGAGCAGAGGUCUAGAGUGAGCCGCGGUCUAGAGUGAGCGGAGGUCAGAGGUCUAGAGUGAGUCGCGGUCUAGGUUGAGCGGAGGCUGCAGGUCUAGAGUGAGCAGCGGUCUAGAGUGAGCGCAGGCUGGAGGUCUAGAGUGAGCCGCGGUCUAGAGUGAGCGGAGGCUGCAGGUCUAGAGUGAGCGGAGGCUGGAGGUCUAGAGUGAGCCGCGGUCUAGAGUGAGCGGAGGCUGGAGGUCUAGAGUGAGCCGCGGUCUAGAGUGAGCGGAGGCUGGAGGUCUAGAGUGAGCCGCGGUCUAGAGUGAGCGGAGGCUGGAGGUCUAGAGUGAGCCGCGGUCUAGAGUGAGCGGAGGCUGGAGGUCUAGAGUGAGCCGCGGCUGGAGGUCUAGAGUGAGCGGAGGCUGCAGGUCUAGAGUGAGCAGAGGCUGGUGGCUUGAGAACGGUGCGGCAGGCAGAUUCUACGAAGGAGCGUACCUUGGUCUUGCAGCAACCACAUGUGAUGACCCUGGGCUGGACGCCGCUUCGUACAUGGUGAAAGCUGAUCCUGCGAUCCACAGUGCAAAGUUGAUGUAUAUCCUCAGCGACCAGCACGGAUCAGCUCCAGGCAUAACGAAGCGGAUAUCGUCCUCUUUUGGAAGUAGUUUUGCUUUCACAUGAAACACACAGCGUCUAUACGACAUGGCGGCGGCGGCGGCAACAACAAUACUACAACGAGAAUAAAAGCUACACCUUCUUUCUUUGUGUGAACAUCUAGGCCCGUGUUAUGCAAAUCUUCACACAUACUGACGUAGAGAUGUGGGGCGUGUUAGAACAAGCCGUUUCAGGGGGGCGUGGACGAGUGUUAACUUUUAAAAGAAUAUCUCUUUGGGUUUGAGACUUUAGUCUUUGCAGCUUUACAGAUCUUCUUUAUGCACCAAGAGCUUGUAACACUCCAAAGAGAAAGGAAAAUUUGAAAUCGCAUCAUGUGACCUCUUUAAACAGGCAGCUUCCAGUAACAUGAAUGACACUCUAACAAUCAUGUUCAUGUGUUUAAAUGGAGUCAGUGUUUUAAUUAUUAGGAUGACUGUAAUCGUUCAAUCUCAGGUUUUUACAGUUCAUAGGUCACUUCUCCAGAAUAAAAAGGACAAGUUGAAUGCUUUUGGUCACUCUCCUGUACGGGCUUGCUAUCUGUAGUUUCCACUGUGGGUGAUGCCUUCUUCUUACAGCAGAAAAGAAGAAGACGAAAGCAAAUGAAGAGUGAGAAACAAAUAAAGAGUGAGAAAGAUGAG